GUCGAACGAGAUUAAGGGGCUUGCUCCUUAUGAAAGUGGCGCACGGGUGCGUAACGCGUAUGCAACCUACCUCAAUCAGGGGGAUAGCCCGAAGAAAUUCGGAUUAACACCGCAUAAAAACACAGGAUAGCAUUAUCUAAUGUUCAAAUAUUUAUAGGAUUGAGAUGGGCAUGCGUGUCAUUAGCUAGUUGGCGGGGUAACGGCCCACCAAGGCGACGAUGACUAGGGGAUCUGAGAGGAUGACCCCCCACACUGGUACUGAGACACGGACCAGACUCCUACGGGAGGCAGCAGUAAGGAAUAUUGGUCAAUGGAGGCAACUCUGAACCAGCCAUGCCGCGUGCAGGAAGACAGCCCUCUGGGUCGUAAACUGCUUUUAUUCGGGAAUAAACCUAAUUACGUGUAAAUAGCUGAAUGUACCGAAGGAAUAAGGAUCGGCUAACUCCGUGCCAGCAGCCGCGGUAAUACGGAGGAUCCAAGCGUUAUCCGGAUUUAUUGGGUUUAAAGGGUGCGUAGGCGGCUUAUUAAGUCAGGGGUGAAAGACGGUGGCUCAACCAUCGCAGUGCCUUUGAUACUGAUGAGCUUGAAUGAACUAGAGGUAGGCGGAAUGUGACAAGUAGCGGUGAAAUGCAUAGAUAUGUCACAGAACACCGAUUGCGAAGGCAGCUUACUAUGGUUUUAUUGACGCUGAGGCACGAAAGCGUGGGGAUCAAACAGGAUUAGAUACCCUGGUAGUCCACGCCCUAAAC
This 749-nucleotide ribosomal RNA is filed under the name Pedobacter sp. PTJR-2. RNAcentral's name for it is "bacterial SSU rRNA". It matches the Rfam family "Bacterial small subunit ribosomal RNA", at positions 61 to 807 of the family's 1533-position model. The record is from RNAcentral. Lineage: Bacteria; Pseudomonadati; Bacteroidota; Sphingobacteriia; Sphingobacteriales; Sphingobacteriaceae.